Molecule: long non-coding RNA, 614 nt
Filed under: Homo sapiens (human)
Lineage: Eukaryota; Metazoa; Chordata; Mammalia; Primates; Hominidae
Description: HSALNT0031660
Source: RNAcentral
GUCCGCCGCCGCGGAGCCCACCCGGGAGGCAGCCCCAGCUCCGCUCGAACCUGAGGCCAGGUGCCCUGCCCCAGUCACUCCCGAGAGAGGGGUCGUCCGGCCGCGGUGGAGGGCCCCGUGAUGGCGUGGGGACUUGCGUUUUCCCCUAUGCGCAUUCCCUGAAACGGAAACUGGACGUUUCCUCAAAUUUUUGUCAUGUGCCACUGCCCCUUCCCAGUCACCUGGUCUACCCCGUCAGCCCCUCAGGCUGUGUAGAAAUUCCAGAACCGUCACUGUUGUGAAGAAAAGAUGGUGGAAUCACCAGGACCACGAAUGGAAACGCUCUUUAGAAAAGCAGUUUGAAGAAACUGACUUUCUCCUUGUUCUGUAAAGUGCACAGGGCGGCACUGCGGGCAUUCAGAGGGAGGAGGGCCCUUCCUGUUUGAAAAAGCCCCAGGGCUUUUUCCCCAUACAGACCUGAUCACCUGGAUUAAAAUAAAACAAAAAUACACGGCAGCCAAGUAGUUUGUAUCAUGCUUAUAUCUCAGAUCACUAGAACCUGGCCUGAUGGGUUUAUAUGUUUGUAUGUAUUUUUAAAUGAAUAUUUUAAAAUAAAACUCAGUGAAAUCGUCACA